AACAUGCUCCCUUAGAUCCACCUUUAUGGGUGCCCAUUUACAUGGUUUAUGUUAAUUGCAUUUCAUGUAAAGGCAUUGACAUUUCCUGUUAAGGCAUCCAGCAACUUUUUGGUUGUAUAGUUGAAGGUGCUUGAGUCAUUGGCAUGUUAGAUUAAUACACCUGCAUGCUUGCUUUUUUCAUUGUGAUGGCCAUGGCUGCAUUCUUGUAGACCAUAUCUUUCCAUCAGGAUGUAGCUAGUAUGCGGACAAU
Bombina bombina (fire-bellied toad) is the source of this 250-nucleotide small nucleolar RNA. RefSeq annotates it as small nucleolar RNA SNORA53. The record is from RefSeq and is a predicted model, not a curated record. The transcript has a single exon. Lineage: Eukaryota; Metazoa; Chordata; Amphibia; Anura; Bombinatoridae.